CUAGCUGUAAACGAUGGAUACUAGGCGUUGAGAGUAUCGACCCUCUCAGUGUCGUAGCUAACGCGUUAAGUAUCCCGCCUGGGGAGUACGCGCGCAAGCGUGAAACUCAAAGGAAUUGACGGGGGCCCGCACAAGCGGUGGAGUAUGUGGUUUAAUUCGAUGCAACGCGAAGAACCUUACCAGGGCUCGACAUGUCCGGAACCCUGCCCAAAGGCGGGGGUGCCUACGGGAACCGGAACACGAGGUGGUGC
RNAcentral lists this ribosomal RNA (251 nucleotides) under uncultured Chroococcidiopsis sp. Its description in RNAcentral is "partial 16S ribosomal RNA". It matches the Rfam family "Bacterial small subunit ribosomal RNA", at positions 796 to 1044 of the family's 1533-position model. The record is from RNAcentral. Lineage: Bacteria; Bacillati; Cyanobacteriota; Cyanophyceae; Chroococcidiopsidales; Chroococcidiopsidaceae.